Molecule: long non-coding RNA, 990 nt
Organism: Mus musculus (house mouse)
Lineage: Eukaryota; Metazoa; Chordata; Mammalia; Rodentia; Muridae
Product: predicted gene, 35135
Exons: 3
Source: RefSeq, marked validated
GUUUUAAAGUCAGGGUAUUUCAAGUAAGCCACCACUGUGUGGUCAUUACGAAAGAGCUGGGGCAGAAACUAUCUUUUAAAAGGAGACGAACGAACAGUGGAAUGGCCAGGAGGUAAGAGGCAGGAAGUCAGAGCAGAAAACAGGGAGAACAAAGGACAGAGAGAAGUCACGACGGGCAGUUAGGUCUGCAGCAGUGUAGAAUUCAGAGUCUUCCCACUUUACAAGGCGAAAGAAGAGAAGUGGAUAUAAGAAUGAGUAACACAAAUUUUUUUAAUAUCAUCACUCAGAAGACUGAAGCAAGAGGAUUUCCCGGACAAGGAUGAGGUACAUGAAGUGCAUGAGGCACACACAGGCAAAGGCUACAAAUGAACAACAAAGUCCCCUUGGUUUUGCAUCCUGAUAGAGUGAUCUGUGAUGCUUUACAAACAACUUGGGCUUACAGAGCCUGCACCCCAAAGGGCCAGCCUCACAGAAGACAAUUGCUGUUGCAUGACUCACUGCCUAACAGACUGUGAACUGCCUAGGGGGAUGGGAAAGCUCUGCGUAGAAUUUACGAGAGGUGGUCGUAAGACAGAAUUUGUGUUCGCAUCUCUGCCUUGAUGUGGCUGCAAGAAACAUCACCAUCUGGAGCUGGAACGCUUGGCCCAGAAUGGACUUGUUAGCUGUGGACACUCAUCUCUUGUGCCUAGGGGCCAAGGGGUUUGAGUCCCAGUAGAGAUACUGAGGACUCCCAGAAACUCUCAUGCAAAUCCAAGCAUCUUAAGGGCACAGCCAGCUGGAGGAACCUGUUCUCCUGAACGCCUUAUGGGGCACUGCGAUUUUGUAUUACCUGCUCUCAUACAUAUCUCAUACCUUGGCACAGUGACAAUGACCAAGAUCUCUUACUUUCAGUUUAUUUGAAUCUUAAGGCAAAAACAGUCAAAGAAGUUUCUGGGAAACCCUGGGAAGGCUAAAAAGAUUUUUAAUAAACCAUGUGAUGUCUAAAAUUCC